GACGAACGCUGGCGGCGUGCUUAACACAUGCAAGUCGAACGGGAUUUAGUAGACAGAAGCCUCGGCUAAAGAUUACUAAUGAGAGUGGCGAACGGGUGAGUAACGCGUGAGCAACCUGCCUAUGACAGUGGGAUAGCCUCGGGAAACCGGGAUUAAUACCGCAUAAAAUCGUAGAAACACAUGUUUCAACGGUCAAAGAUUUAUCGGUCAUAGAUGGGCUCGCGUCUGAUUAGCUAGUUGGUGAGAUAACAGCCCACCAAGGCGACGAUCAGUAGCCGGUCUGAGAGGAUGAACGGCCACAUUGGAACUGAGGCACGGUCCAAACUCCUACGGGAGGCAGCAGUGGGGAAUAUUGCACAAUGGGGGAAACCCUGAUGCAGCGACGCCGCGUGAACGAAGAAGGUAUUCGUAUCGUAAAGUUCUGUCCUAUGGGAAGAUAAUGACAGUACCAUAGAAGAAAGCUCCGGCUAAAUACGUG
This 478-nucleotide ribosomal RNA is filed under the name uncultured bacterium. RNAcentral describes it as "partial 16S ribosomal RNA". It matches the Rfam family "Bacterial small subunit ribosomal RNA", at positions 28 to 507 of the family's 1533-position model. The record is from RNAcentral.